UACGUAGGGUGCAAGCGUUGUCCGGAAUUAUUGGGCGUAAAGAGCUCGUAGGCGGUGUGUCGCGUCGGCCGUGAAAACCUGCAGCUUAACUGUGGGCUUGCGGUCGAUACGGGCAUCACUUGAGUUCGGCAGGGGAGACUGGAAUUCCUGGUGUAGCGGUGAAAUGCGCAGAUAUCAGGAGGAACACCGGUGGCGAAGGCGGGUCUCUGGGCCGAUACUGACGCUGAGGAGCGAAAGCGUGGGGAGCGAACAGG
Molecule: ribosomal RNA, 254 nt
Filed under: uncultured bacterium
Lineage: Bacteria
Description: partial 16S ribosomal RNA
Rfam family: Bacterial small subunit ribosomal RNA
Source: RNAcentral